GACGAACGCUGGCGGCGUGCUUAACACAUGCAAGUCGAACGGAAAGGCCCUGCUUGCAGGGUGCUCGAGUGGCGAACGGGUGAGUAACACGUGGGUGAUCUGCCCCUUACUUUGGGAUAAGCCUGGGAAACUGGGUCUAAUACUGGAUAGGACCAUGCUGUAGGUGGUGUGGUGGAAAGAUUAGUUUCGGUAAGGGAUGAGCUCGCGGCCUAUCAGCUUGUUGGUGGGGUAAUGGCCUACCAAGGCGUCGACGGGUAGCCGGCCUGAGAGGGUGGACGGCCAGAUUGGGACUGUGAGACGGGCCAGACUACUACGGGAGGCAGCAGUGGGGAAUAUUGCACAAUGGGCGCAAGCCUGAUGCAGCGACGCCGCGUGGGGGAUGACGGCCUUCGGGUUGUAAGCUCCUUUCAGCCAUGACGAAGCCCUUGUGGUGACGGUAGUGGUAGAAGAAGCACCGGCUAACUACGUG
This 469-nucleotide ribosomal RNA is filed under the name uncultured bacterium. Its description in RNAcentral is "partial 16S ribosomal RNA". It matches the Rfam family "Bacterial small subunit ribosomal RNA", at positions 28 to 507 of the family's 1533-position model. The record is from RNAcentral.